GAAGCUUCUUGGCCUUUUGGCUAAGAUCAAGUGUAGUAUCUUGCAGGAAUAGCUUCUCAACUAUUGUGCCAUGUUGGGCAACAUUGUAAACUGAUGAUGAUCAUUGGUAGGAUAGUUUUUUUGAUCUUCAGAAAUGCAGCUGUUUUUGAAAUAACUGAGCUGGUUAAAAUGCCAGUCUGGUCUACUCAAU
RNAcentral lists this small nuclear RNA (190 nucleotides) under Naja naja (Indian cobra). Its description in RNAcentral is "U2 spliceosomal RNA (ENSNNAG00000016267.1)". It matches the Rfam family "U2 spliceosomal RNA". From Rfam's summary of the family: U2 is a small nuclear RNA (snRNA) component of the spliceosome (involved in pre-mRNA splicing). Complementary binding between U2 snRNA (in an area lying towards the 5' end but 3' to hairpin I) and the branchpoint sequence (BPS) of the intron results the bulging out of an unpaired adenosine, on the BPS, which initiates a nucleophilic attack at the intronic 5' splice site, thus starting the first of two transesterification reactions that mediate splicing. The record is from Rfam by way of RNAcentral. Lineage: Eukaryota; Metazoa; Chordata; Lepidosauria; Squamata; Elapidae.